This 326-nucleotide long non-coding RNA is filed under the name Physcomitrium patens. Its description in RNAcentral is "long non-coding RNA (PPAT_LNC006853)". Lineage: Eukaryota; Viridiplantae; Streptophyta; Bryopsida; Funariales; Funariaceae. The record is from RNAcentral.
CUCCUUCUCCAAGCUUGAUGCCAAUCUUCCAGAGCCGAUAUCUCUCCUUUGUACCGUUCAAUUGAUCUCAAAAUUCUCAUACACAUAAGAAAAUAAGUCUAAUAUCCUCUCACAUAAGUUUUAUUCCAAUCCAAGUAGUAGAUUGCAAGAAAGCUUAAAAAUCCUCACUAGACCUAAAAUUCUACUUUCUGAGACCUUGACCCACUUAAACCUCAAUAUCCUUCAAUUCAACCAUUAGAUCGAGCUCAAAUUCACAAUACAUAUUGAACACAACUAUAACCAUAAACCCACAAAAUUUCAUCCAUAGAUCUGCUACAAAACUCUCA